UGGGGAAUUUUGGACAAUGGGCGAAAGCCUGAUCCAGCAAUGCCGCGUGUGUGAAGAAGGCCUUCGGGUUGUAAAGCACUUUUGUCCGGAAAGAAAUCCUUGGCUCUAAUACAGUCGGGGGAUGACGGUACCGGAAGAAUAAGCACCGGCUAACUACGUGCCAGCAGCCGCGGUAAUACGUAGGGUGCAAGCGUUAAUCGGAAUUACUGGGCGUAAAGCGUGCGCAGGCGGUUUGCUAAGACCGAUGUGAAAUCCCCGGGCUCAACCUGGGAACUGCAUUGGUGACUGGCAGGCUAGAGUAUGGCAGAGGGGGGUAGAAUUCCACGUGUAGCAGUGAAAUGCGUAGAGAUGUGGAGGAAUACCGAUGGCGAAGGCAGCCCCCUGGGCCAAAUACUGACGCUCAUGCACGAAAGCGUGGGGAGCAAACAGGAUUAGAUACCCUGGUAGUCCACGCCCUAAAACGAUGUCAACUAGUUGUUGGGGAUUCAUUUCCUAGUAACGUAGCUAACGCGUGAAGUUGACCGCCUGGGGGAGUACGGUCGCAAGAUUAAAACUUAAAGGAAUUGACGGGGUCAUAGCUGUUUCCU
RNAcentral lists this ribosomal RNA (587 nucleotides) under uncultured bacterium. Its description in RNAcentral is "partial 16S ribosomal RNA". It matches the Rfam family "Bacterial small subunit ribosomal RNA", at positions 355 to 1375 of the family's 1533-position model. The record is from RNAcentral.